RNAcentral lists this microRNA precursor (75 nucleotides) under Trichuris muris. RNAcentral's name for it is "snRNA TMUE_0100000322". It matches the Rfam family "mir-1 microRNA precursor family". From Rfam's summary of the family: This family represents the microRNA (miRNA) mir-1 family. miRNAs are transcribed as ~70nt precursors (modelled here) and subsequently processed by the Dicer enzyme to give a ~22nt product. In this case the mature sequence comes from the 3' arm of the precursor. Lineage: Eukaryota; Metazoa; Nematoda; Enoplea; Trichinellida; Trichuridae. The record is from RNAcentral.
UUGCUGGCCUCGUACUUCUUUGCAUAACCAUACGGAUUUUCGGCUGUGGAAUGUAAAGAAGUAUGUAGCCACUAG